UGAGUGUUAUGAUGAUGGAAUUAUUUUUAUUCUUAGUCUAGCUCUGGUCUCCCAUUAGGCUUUUGCCUAGUGGG
Streptococcus macacae NCTC 11558 is the source of this 74-nucleotide non-coding RNA. The record is from Rfam. Lineage: Bacteria; Bacillati; Bacillota; Bacilli; Lactobacillales; Streptococcaceae.